RNAcentral lists this ribosomal RNA (618 nucleotides) under uncultured Gammaproteobacteria bacterium. RNAcentral's name for it is "bacterial SSU rRNA". It matches the Rfam family "Bacterial small subunit ribosomal RNA", at positions 23 to 638 of the family's 1533-position model. Lineage: Bacteria; Pseudomonadati; Pseudomonadota; Gammaproteobacteria. The record is from RNAcentral.
CUCAGAUUGAACGCUGGCGGAAUGCUUUACACAUGCAAGUCGAGCGGCAGCGCGGGGCAACCUGGCGGCGAGCGGCGAACGGGUGAGUAACACAUCGGAACGUACCCUGUUGUGGGGGAUAGCCCGGCGAAAGCCGGAUUAAUACCGCAUAAGACCUGAGGGUGAAAGCGGGGGACCGCAAGGCCUCGCGCGACAGGAGCGGCCGAUGGCGGAUUAGCUAGUUGGUGGGGUAAAGGCUCACCAAGGCGACGAUCCGUAGCUGGUCUGAGAGGAUGAUCAGCCACACUGGAACUGAGACACGGUCCAGACUCCUACGGGAGGCAGCAGUGGGGAAUUUUGGACAAUGGGGGCAACCCUGAUCCAGCCAUUCCGCGUGAGUGAAGAAGGCCUUCGGGUUGUAAAGCUCUUUCGGCAGGAACGAAACGGUGGGCUCUAACAUAGUCUGCUAAUGACGGUACCUGAAGAAGAAGCACCGGCUAACUACGUGCCAGCAGCCGCGGUAAUACGUAGGGUGCGAGCGUUAAUCGGAAUUACUGGGCGUAAAGCGUGCGCAGGCGGUUUCGUAAGACAGAUGUGAAAUCGCCGGGCUUAACCUGGGAACUGCGUUUGUGACUGCGA